UCGGCUAUGAACGGAACUUCAAGCACAGACUGAUGACAUCAGGCUUUCCUACGCCAAAGGGUCAGUUGUAGUUUUUAUCUGGAGCUCUCUAGUCACACGGGGCCACACGGGGCUGAAAAUCUCUGAAUAAAAAUUCAAUAUCAAAAUUUCAGUUUUCCAACUAAUUCUCUACCCGUGAAGUUUGCCACCAACGAAAAAAAUAUGUGCGGCUUUGGUUGUGGUCCUUACGGCUACGGACCCUCGGGGCCCUGCGGACCCUGGUGCGGACCUUGGUGUGGCCCUUGCGCCUUGUCACUGGGACCCUGCAGCUACUCCUGCUGCGGCGGACCCAAAGGCUGCGGACCGUGUGGACCCGCCUGUUGGCCGUACGGCCUGUACACCUGCUAGGCUUCAGACGGAUUUUGGGAACGUGUGAGAUAUUCCCCCGACAAAUGUAGUUCAGGGUGGCCUAUGAAAAAACCUUGGCUUUACUGAAAUUCGAGCAAAAAGUAAACGUUGUAUUCAUUAAAAAAUGCUGCAUUCAUAUACCAAGAAAAUUUAAUAAAGCUUUUUAGGGUGGUUUAUAAAGUAAAAA
Molecule: long non-coding RNA, 574 nt
Organism: Drosophila eugracilis
Lineage: Eukaryota; Metazoa; Arthropoda; Insecta; Diptera; Drosophilidae
Exons: 3
Source: RefSeq, a predicted model, not a curated record